RNAcentral lists this long non-coding RNA (1199 nucleotides) under Hordeum vulgare. Its description in RNAcentral is "long non-coding RNA (HVUL_LNC013125)". The record is from RNAcentral. Lineage: Eukaryota; Viridiplantae; Streptophyta; Magnoliopsida; Poales; Poaceae.
AACCGACCUUGGUCCUCCUAUAUAUACUGCUUACCGUGGUCGGCCAAAGACACACCGAAAAACAUCUAGGGUUUUGCCUCGUCUCACCACUUUUGCCGCCGUCGUAGUCUACCUCAUAUCGAACGCCGGCGUGCAUCGGCAUGCGAGAGGGCAUGUCUCCGGAACCAUUCGUCUUUACGAUCCUGCACCGGGGGAGGACGAAUUAGGUUUUUGGGAAGCGCUUUGCGCGACUACUCAAACCCUUCACUACGGGUCGUCUACCGUUCAAGUCGGGCGGUGCUACUCAUCGUCGUCUUCAUCGUCAUCAACAGAAGAUCGUCACCAACAUCAUCGUCAACACAGUCGUUCCUGCUGCAACUAACGAAUAGUAUGUUAGUCAUAAUGUGUUAAUGUUCUUCGUUGUAGCUUCUACUUCAUGCGCGGUGAUGAUAUGUAUGUUUGGUUGCUCUUCUAGAUUGAUAGAGUAUUGCAUUCUAUCUUCUUGUUCUAGUCAUGAAUUAUUUAUUAGAAUUAAUCAUGAACUUGCCUAAUCUUUCAAUAGUGUAUAUAUAAUGGUUUUGGCCUCCAAAUAAUACAUGUUGCUUCCAUAACAAUGUUAUUAAAGCUUAGGUUAACUCGUGCAUGAUCCUCCCAUCACGCCGUCGUCGUCUUCUUGCGCGUCGUCGCAGCUCCCUCAUUUUCACUGCCGCCUUUUCUUCAAUUCCGGUUGCUGCUGUCGCUGCUCCCUCAUCUCUGCGCAUGCCUCCUAGAUCGAUGUUGUCAGGCCGCCGCUCCACCUCCUGUAUUCUCCCAUUUGGCUCCUUCUGCCUUCUGGUUCACCCCACGUAGGAUACUGCCGCCGGUCCUUGCUCCUUACCAGCAGCCACCAAGGAGGUUCUCCGCCAUCGCUGAUGAAUUUUAGUCCGCGCUCGCAGUCCAUUUGGAGUUGCUCUUCUGGCCACCGCCCGCAGUCCUUUCGACGCUGCUCCUUCGUCUGCCGCCCCGAGGCCAUCCACCGUUGCUCGCUGGCUCCGCUUCAUCCCACCCGUCAGUCUCUAACUUUGCGUGGUGCUUCUCCUGUUUCGUCCGCCGCCCUCAAGAUCGAAUCUGGAUCACAUGUGACAAUUUAGCGUGGGUUGUUUAUCUGCUGGGCUCAAGAUAGUUUCGUUAAAAAAAGAGAAAAAAGGAAAAGAAAAAAGAAUUAAAAAACAAUGCUUUCG